UACGUAGGGUGCAAGCGUUAAUCGGAAUUACUGGGCGUAAAGCGUGCGCAGGCGGUUGUGCAAGACAGAUGUGAAAUCCCCGGGCUCAACCUGGGAACUGCAUUUGUGACUGCACGGCUAGAGUGCGGCAGAGGGAGAUGGAAUUCCGCGUGUAGCAGUGAAAUGCGUAGAUAUGCGGAGGAACACCGAUGGCGAAGGCAAUCCCCUGGGCCUGCACUGACGCUCAUGCACGAAAGCGUGGGGAGCAAACAGG
Molecule: ribosomal RNA, 253 nt
Filed under: uncultured bacterium
Lineage: Bacteria
Description: partial 16S ribosomal RNA
Rfam family: Bacterial small subunit ribosomal RNA
Source: RNAcentral